This 465-nucleotide ribosomal RNA is filed under the name uncultured bacterium. RNAcentral describes it as "partial 16S ribosomal RNA". It matches the Rfam family "Bacterial small subunit ribosomal RNA", at positions 339 to 795 of the family's 1533-position model. The record is from RNAcentral.
CUACGGGCGGCUGCAGUGGGGAAUAUUGGACAAUGGGGGAAACCCUGAUCCAGCAAUGCCGCGUGUGUGAAGAAGGCCUGCGGGUUGUAAAGCACUUUCGGUUGGGAGGACUGCUUCUAGCACUAAUAUUGUUGGAAGUUGACGUUACCUUCAGAAGAAGCACCGGCUAACUCCGUGCCAGCAGCCGCGGUAAUAGCGGAGGGUGCAAGCGUUAAUCGGAAUUACUGGGCGUAAAGCGCGCGUAGGCGGCUAGAUCAGUCGGGUGUGAAAGCCCGGGGCUUAACCUGGGAACUGCAUCCGUACUGUCUAGCUUGAGUACAGGAGAGGAGAGUGGAAUUCCACAUGUAGCGGUGAAAUGCGUAGAUAUGUGGAGGAACACCAAUGGCGAAGGCAGCUCUCUGGCCUGAUACUGACGCUGAGGUGCGAAAGCGUGGGGAGCAAACAGGAUUAGAUACCCGAGUAGUC